UACGUAGGUGUCGAGCGUUGUCCGGAUUUAUUGGGCGUAAAGCGCCCGCAGGCGGCCAGGCAAGUCCAGGGUGAAAUCUCCCGGCUCAACCGGGAGGGUGCCCUGGAAACUGCUUGGCUUGAGGCAGGGAGAGGGAUGUGGAAUUCCCGGUGUAGUGGUGAAAUGCGUAGAUAUCGGGAGGAACACCAGUGGCGAAGGCGGCAUCCUGGCCCUGUCCUGACGCUCAGGGGCGAAAGCGUGGGGAGCAAACCGG
This 253-nucleotide ribosomal RNA is filed under the name uncultured bacterium. RNAcentral's name for it is "partial 16S ribosomal RNA". It matches the Rfam family "Bacterial small subunit ribosomal RNA", at positions 524 to 776 of the family's 1533-position model. The record is from RNAcentral.